GGGCGAGCAGCCGGUCGGCGGCGACGGCGCCCGCGCAGGGGUCGUGGGCGGGGUAGGCCUCGUACACCGGAUCCUGGCCGACGCGCUCGC
RNAcentral lists this transfer RNA (90 nucleotides) under Streptomyces spiralis. RNAcentral describes it as "tRNA-Pro". Lineage: Bacteria; Bacillati; Actinomycetota; Actinomycetes; Kitasatosporales; Streptomycetaceae. The record is from RNAcentral.